AUUGAACGCUGGCGGCAUGCCUUACACAUGCAAGUCGAACGGCAGCACGGGUGCUUGCACCUGGUGGCGAGUGGCGAACGGGUGAGUAAUACAUCGGAACGUACCUUAUCGUGGGGGAUAACGCAGCGAAAGCUGUGCUAAUACCGCAUACGCCCUGAGGGGGAAAGCGGGGGAUCGCAAGACCUCGCGCGAUUAGAGCGGCCGAUGCCUGAUUAGCUUGUUGGUGGGGUAAAAGCUCUCCAAGGCGACGAUCAGUAGCUGGUCUGAGAGGACGAUCAGCCACACUGGGACUGAGACACGGCCCAGACUCCUACGGGAGGCAGCAGUGGGGAAUUUUGGACAAUGGGGGCAACCCUGAUCCAGCAAUGCCGCGUGAGUGAAGAAGGCCUUCGGGUUGUAAAGCUCUUUUGUCAGGGAAGAAACACCGGCUCUGACACAGUCCGUGAAUGACGGUACCUGAAGAAUAAGCACCGGCUAACUACGUGCCAGCCGCCGCGGUAA
Molecule: ribosomal RNA, 501 nt
Filed under: uncultured bacterium
Lineage: Bacteria
Description: partial 16S ribosomal RNA
Rfam family: Bacterial small subunit ribosomal RNA
Source: RNAcentral